Molecule: long non-coding RNA, 340 nt
Filed under: Nicotiana benthamiana
Lineage: Eukaryota; Viridiplantae; Streptophyta; Magnoliopsida; Solanales; Solanaceae
Description: long non-coding RNA (NBEN_LNC023519)
Source: RNAcentral
UAAGGUUGGGCAGUCAGGUGUGAAUUUGAUGCAUUUCAACUUUGUGGUCGGAUGAGAUGAUUUCUUAUUAAAAAAAUGUUUUGCAAUCAGGAGUUAGAAUCCAAACUGUUCUCAAUUUUAUGCUGCUUAUCAUUCAUGUUUUUCGUAUUAGUUGCUAUAAUUGGAUUUCGUAUGAAUGUCACAAAGUAUAAGAGUGCCUGUAAAAAAGGAGAUCACACUCUUUGCUUUGACAUGUUUCUUUUGGUUUUGAGAUCCUGAACCUUAAAUUGGAGACCGCACUCUUUGCUUUGACAUGUUUCUUUUGGUUUUGUGAUCCUGAACCUUAAAUAAUGUACUCCCC